This 40793-nucleotide long non-coding RNA is filed under the name Brassica napus (rape). RNAcentral's name for it is "long non-coding RNA (BNAP_LNC002001)". The record is from RNAcentral. Lineage: Eukaryota; Viridiplantae; Streptophyta; Magnoliopsida; Brassicales; Brassicaceae.
AAUUAAAAAAAAAAAAUAAGAUAAUUCUUAUACAUAUAUAUUUUAUUGUUAUCUGGAAAAUAAAAUUUUAUUAUUAUAAGAGAUUAAGACAUAUAACAAUUUCUAAUUAAAUAUUAGUCAAUCAAAAGCUGAUUUUGUUUGUGUGUCGUAUUCUCCAUGAUUUUAGGUAUUUUUGCUUAAUAUAUAAUUUAAAAGAAUUUUAUAUUAAUAAUAAUAGAUUAUAAGUUCUACUAGCUAAUUGAUUAUAAACUAAUAUGAAAAAUAUCAAAAUAAAAACAUAUAUAUUUUAAAAAUAAAUAAGAUAAUUCUUAUAUAUAUUAUUGUUAUUUGGAAAUAUUUUUUUUAUUAUAAGACAUUAAGGUAUAGAACCAUUUAUAAUUAAAUAUUAAUAUAUCUAAAAUAUUGCUAAUAUAUAAGUGCUUUAAAAAAGUUAUCAAAAUAAUAAACAUAUAUAUUUUGAUGGAAAUAUUCAUCAUAUAUAUAUAUGAUGUUUGAUUUAAACUUUUUGUUAAAUCAUUAAUAAUUAUUUAUUAUAUUUUUUUUGAAUUAAUAAGACAUAAACCAAAAAUUAUUCGUAAGAAGAUAAUGCCUGCAUGUGCGGGCAAAACACCUAGUUAUAAAUAAAGCACCAGCCUAAUCUCGAUACUAUAUAUAUAUAUAUAUUAUAUUUCAACAAAAUAUUAUAUAACAUAUUUAAUAAUUCCUCUUAUUAUACCAUACAAAGUGUUGAUUAACCUGUAUUUUUCUUUCCUUUCAUGUGGGCCAAUAGCAGAUAAAAUGUUACAUCAAUAUAAUCUAUGGAGUCAUCGUUUUGUUUGGGCUUAUAUUACAAAUAUAUUUGCAAUUAUAGAUUCAUAUAAAUAUAAUCCAUAUAGGCUAAACCAAAUAUAAAAUUACUCGAAAAGGUAAAAAUAAAAUAUACCAAUAUAAUAAAACUCUGAUUAGAAAGAAGAAAAUAUGGUUAAACUAAAAAGCAAAUAAGAUACACGAAUUUAUACAAAAGUCUUCUAGAAUGUCAAUAUAAGUAAAUAGAAAAGCUUUAGUCAAAUAAUAAACAAUACAUUUUUUUAAUAACCAUGGGAAUUCUAAAUUUUUAUAGACCCAAAUACUAAUACCACGAAAUCUAGCAUCUGGCUACGUGUGGACAAUUAAAUUCAUUUAAAACGCGGUUAAGUGGCCAAUGCUAUUCAAAUCCAAAAUACAAAUUUUAGCUGAAACCUCUUUCUCACUAGAUCAAACUGCCAAGUCUUGGUUUUUUUAUUAUUUUGUUUGAAAAUACAUCUAUUGCACUAAAAGUAAAUGAUAAAAAAAUUAAAGAUAUUGCAUGUAAAUACACAAUAAAAUGACAGAUAAAAUGAAAUUAAUAUAAAAAUAAAUAACUAAAAAUCUUUUAAAGACUCUUGAAUCAGCCAAAUAUUCAACAAAAAGAAAUCACGCUUUAAUCAACCAUAUCAUUCUUUACAAGAAUUAUAUAAGUUUUUUAAAAGCUUACAAAAAAAUAGCCUCAUCAGUACUUUCCUCCAGGUUAUUAUGUCUACCGUAAAGCAAAUUAACAACAUAAAUCGACAAGCCACAUUGACCAUUAAUUUUCACAUUCGUAAUAAACCUAUUACAUUUGCUUAUAAUAGAUUUCCACAACUUAAAUACAUCGAGUAACACUAAUAAAUAUACUACAAUAAAAUAAAAUAUAAAUACAUAUAUCAACAUGAUCAUAUUCUCAGAAGAGACAGUUUUCCUUGAGGCUAAUGAUGAGUGUCUCUAAAGCUUCAUUUCAAAGGCAUGAACACAACUCCCAGAUUCUCCACUUUCUCCAUAUUCACUUUGUGAAUGAUUCCUUCCAUUUUACCUUUUCUAUUCGUACAACAAAUACAAAUGGUAUUAAGUUUUUUGGUAUAUUCCUGAUUGAAUUUAUGGACUUGGCACGAUGAUAUAUUAGUAGGGUUGAUAUGGAUAGAAAACUCACAUAUCAGCAAUAAACAAAUCUUGAAAUAAUCCAUGAAUUGCAUAGUCUGCUUAGUGUUGUUUAUUAUCGUACUUGAGCCAUCCAUGAGGUAUCUGCCAUUAGCGUCUCCAACGCUUUGACAUGAGCGGAGGCAACAUUUUUUAAGUAACUCUAUUCAUUUACCUUUUCCUCCACCAUCCCAUAUCACAUAUGUAUUUUUAGAUAUUAAAAAGACAAAAAAAUAAAUUUUAAACCUAUCAAGUUUAAUUUAUAAUUUUGUAAAUUGACUGAAAUAUAUAUGCCUUAUAUAUAUUAAAUACAAAUAUAUUUUUCCAAACCCGGGCGUAGCCCGGGAAAAUCUCUAGUCUUAUUAAGAAGAGAACAAAAUCACAGUAACUGGAAAUAAAAAUAGAAAAUCAGUCCAGUAAAACAGUUUCAACCCAACUUAUUAAAAAAAAUUCACUUCAAUACACACCACAGAAGCUAAAUGGGCUUAGUAGUCCUGAGCUUUAGCCUUAAAAAGCCCAUAUAGCAUUCGGUUGAAAUUGAGUAAAUAAUAUUUAUUCUCGGCAAAAUCGGAACAAAUGAUAAGUUGAGGGACUAACAGGUAAAGAAUAAACACAUUUUCUUCCUAAACCGUGUGAUCUUGUUCGCAUCUGGAACAAGCGAGAAGCUCUGAUAUCCCAUAAAUUAAAAUUACAUUUUUCUCGUCUUCUUCGUCAAAAAUCCUCUUCACCGAGUCAUCUUCUCUCCGAUCAAAAAGUCAAUCAAGGUAUGUGCUUUCCAAAUCCAAUCGAAGGAUUUCAUUACAAACAUGUUCUCCCGAUUUCAUUACUUAAUUUCUGCUCUGAUUGAUUUGUUUGUCGGUUAUAACGAAUCUAGGUUUUGUACAAACGGUUUGGGUUCGAACUAUAUACAAAUCUCAGUGUGGUUGUUCUUGUAUUAUGUCUUGACUUACGAAAGUAGCAACCUUUGGUUAAGGGUUUCAUGUUUUUUUUUUUUUGAGCUUACGUCCAUGACGAACCUUUGCAUUGACUUGUGAUGAUUAGAUUGUGUUGGUAUGUGUUUAAAAAUAAUAGCUUUUAUUGUCUGUCUAGUGAUCAGGUUACACAGGAAGUAAGAUUUGAGGUUUGAGAAGCACAAGAGAACAAGAAGGAACCUAAUCAGUCUCAAUUUACUCGGCUUGAUCAAAUUGAAACUGCAGCUAAUGGCGCUUAACCCUCAGUUGAUGCCUAAUGGGAUGCCUGUUCCCUUUGUUAAUGAGAUGUUUGUUCUUGUCCGAGACGGCGUUGAGUUUGAAGUCGACAAGAUUCCUGGGUUCGUCUUUCCUUCGCUUCUGAUUUAUUUUGGGUUUGGCUUUUUAAAUAUUCUGCGCGGGGUUUCAUUUUUGCUCUGUUGUUUUUGCUGGUUUGGAUCUGACAAGUCCCAUAAUUGAACAGAACAUAUAUAGGUCUUAAACACUUUGCUGACGAUGUGUUUUGUUUGAUAUAUAGAGGACAUGGAGGUCAUGUUAAGGCCAAGGGAGUGAUAUACUUGUCUAACAUUCGGAUGGUCUUUGUUGCAAGCAAGCCUGUUGAGAACUUUGUUGCUUUCGACAUGCCUCUGGUACAGUGAAUUGACUCUCUUUUUAUUCAAUUGAUACUAUGGUACAAGUAUAUUUCUAUGAAUAGAGUUGAGGAACUUUAUGCUACUCUUAGCUCAUAGCUCUGGCAAAUAAUGGACUAUAUGUUACUCUAUUUUGUAGCUUUACAUCCACGCCGAGAAAUUCAAUCAGCCAAUCUUCCACUGCAACAAUAUAUCUGGACAAGUCGAGCCUGUGAGUAAACAAUCUUCAUUUGGGAUUUACAUUUUCCUCGUCAGAAAAUUAUCACAUAGAGUUAACUUACACAUCUCUUUGAGCAUGUAAUAAAAAUUUCAGGUGGUACCAGAGAACGAGCACAGAGCACUGUAUUCAACACACAGUUUCAAGAUCUUGUUCAAGGAAGGUGGUUGCGGGACGUUCGUUCCUCUCUUUUUGAAUCUCAUAUCAUCAGUGAGGCAGUACAACAGACAAAUGCAGCAAGCGGCAGAAACAGCAGCGGCAGCUCCACGUGUUGAUCCCCUUCAAGCCGCACAGACCCCUGUUGAUGAGAUGAUGAGACAUGCGUAAGCCCCCUCUCUAUCAUACGAAGGUUUUGAUAAAAAUAAAAGGCUGUUGUUUCUCAAAAUCUUGUGUAUUUGCAGGUACGUUGACCCUAAUGAUCCAACGAAGAUAUAUCUGCAGCAGCCAUCUGGGGAGUCUCAGUUGAGGCGGCGAGCUUACCAUUCCAGUGCAGCGGAACACUGAUGAGACAUAUACACCGAAACUACAUGAGGGUGGUGCCAUACACAUACGCAGCAACACAUUAAGUGUUGCAAAUAAGUUAAAAGCGUUGUUGGUUUGUUGAUCAAACAUAAAAAACUAAAACUACUUUGUGUAAUGAGAAAGAAAAGACUUGUUGGUUAUGCUGUAUAUGUGAAAAUUUGGAUUCUCUAUAAUAGUAAAAAGUGUUUCAAGGCUCGACUGAAAAAAAAAAUCGCUAAUUCUAUUACAAGACAACACAACAUAGCAUUCUCGUUCUGUCCCGAUGAAGUAAUUGAGAGUUUGAAAAUUAAAAAAUCAAAAUUACUUUUGUCGUGUUUAUAUAUGUAGUUUCAACUAAAAUAACAAAGAGGAGAGGGAGAGCGAAACAUACAAAGGAAUUCGAGUGAGGAUCUAAUCGUCCAUAUCUUUGACCUAACCCUAGUAUCGGGGGCUCUGUGCCGUCGGAGCACCCUUUCUGAUCGGAAUAAGACUUUAUACAGCUCAGUUGAGUCUGUUUCCUUCUGGUUAGUGAUGUUCGGUCUUUGUUCAGUUUGUUACUUUAAUCGAAUCAGAGUUUCAGUUACUCGUAGGUUAAGUUUCUGUUAUGUAUUUCUGGUAUUCGGAUUCAUCAGCGCGAUAGCCUCUAAGGGUUAGCUUCGAUUUACUUGAUAAAAUGUCAGUAAUCUUCAAGCUCUGGUUUGUGGAUUGUACAACUAGUUAGGUCUUUGUGAAAUUGCAACUGUUUAUGCGGCUGUGUUCCUAGGUUAGUAAUAAGAUGACCGAAUGAUUCUGUUGUUGUAUUGUGUCUCUGAACUGAACUCUGGUGAUGACCCUUCAGCUGUAUAGACCAGUAUUAAUUAUCAUUGGAUUGUAAUAAAGCCAAUUUAUGAUGCCUUAGCUAUUAGAAUGAAGUUCUUCAGUUUCGUCCUCUAAUGUUUUUACUUACUCUUUGGACUGUGAUUUGCAGAAAUAAAAAAAGGGUGAUGGAAACCCAGAAGAAAACUAGGGAACAUAGCCUACACCAUAUAGUUGAUGACAUCGGUGCUGCAUUUGGAAUGGGAGCUAUUGGAGGUUCUGUGGUCCACUUCAUAAAAGGAACCCAAAAUUCCCCGAAAGGCCGUCGGUUUGUUGGGGGAGCACAAGCUGUGAGCAUGAAUGCUCCUCGUAUAUGAGGUAGUUUUGCUGUGUUCGGAGGCCUUUUCUCUGCGUUUGACUACACAAUGGUGUACAUUAGGAAGAAGGAAGAUCCAUGGAACUCUAUCGUAGCAGGUGCUGCUACAGGAGGGUUUCUGUCUAUGCGACAAGGGCUUGCUGCUGCUUCGAGAUCAGCUCUUAUGGGAGGGCUCUUGCUUGCUUUGAUCAAAGGGGUCCAUUAAUGUUAAACAAGUUAGCUUAUUGGAUUGUGUUUAUUGAGCUUUCUCUGCUCAGUCUUGGAACCUAUAUACUCUUUUGUUUAAAUCAUUCUACAGUAAUUCAUGUAUUGGUGGUAUAUUAUGCCAACUGUUUAAGUAGAAAGACCAUUUUGAGAAGGGAAGGCCAAAGAAUAAGAUUGGCAAUGAGUCUGUCAAGCGUUAUAAGACAACCAAAUUCAUUUCUAUACACCAAAAACAAGUGAAGUUAAGAGGAGUACUGAGGCAGAUAUAAUAAACACAGCCCCAAAAGUAGUUUGAUCUUUGGUUUCUUCUCACUUAUUUACAUACAAAACCUUAACAAGGAUCUUCACCAAUACGACCAACAGAAACAAAACCGAGGAGUAUGUAUAGUGUCUUUGGAUCUUCACCAAUCACCAAUAGUGUCUUUGGACUUCCAUUAACUCCUUGCUGGAAGUUCGUUGAUAGUGUCCUCUGUUUCUUUUUACUCUUACAUCAUAUGCUCUUGGGAGCUUUGUUUUCUUUUUCUGCAAUGCCUUUGUGCAUUUUUCUCUGUUUUUUUUUUUGAACUUGUAAUGAGUUUUUCAUCUCAUCUACGAUAUUGAAUGAAAUCACAUCGUUAAAAGAAAUCUCCAAAAAAAAAAAAAAGGCAAAACAAAAAAUGAAUUUAGCGAAAUCUCUAGUUCCAGAACAAGAAAACACACGUAAUAAGAUUAAACUUGUUAUUAUGGUUGACCUCGAGGAACCUGGACCAAGCUGGGAAAACAAGUGCAAUGCAAAAGGCCAAGGAUCAGCCACAGAAUCUAAGUGGACUUUGCUGAUCAACUUAUUAUCCCCAUAACAUAGAUCCAAGGUUUGCCAGUUUUAUCGCAACAACACACGACAAGCCUUUCAUUGCUGACCUUGUUCAUAGUCACCCAAAUCUCAAUCUUAUUUGUUACCUUGCUUUGCUUUAACACCGAAAACCUUUCUCCCUUAAAGACCCUAAGGACUAGAACAUCGAGAGGAUGUCUCUUCCGGCAUGGGACUGCACAAAAUCUGUAGAAUAAUUCCCUCGAAAAAUCGAAGGUUUCUAGGUGAUACUUUGUCUCGUCAAAAGAAAUAAUCCAAAACAAAUUUACAUUCAUCAAAACACCACUUAGAGAAUGUGACAGUGCAAUUUGAUUUUUUUCCUUGUUAGUAUCACCGGAUUUAGACACCACGUACUUCCACGUACCUGAGGCAAGGUCGUGGAUUUUCCACUUGGUAUAAUUACACCAAAUUGUCUUGUACACUCUUUUCUCACAUUUACUAUUCGUAUGAGGAUAACCUAUGCCAUGGAAUUUAAAUCUAGUUUCGUUAAUCCAUGUUAUUUGUUUCAACCACGGGUUACAAACUGCGGUUCCAGUAUCCGUGCUACAUAUCAACAACUCGUCGCAAUUAACCAACUUCGUAGGUUUUGAGAUUCCAAACCGAAAAUAUCCAAUGAUAACUCACGCACCACUAUCUUGGGAUCAAUGCUUACCGAAUAAUCUUUGAUUUAGUUGUUAGGAUGAAUCGAAACGUGUCCUUAUGGUUGUAUACGAACGUCUUGUCGUCCAAUAUAGCUUUCCAUCGUUUGCAAACAACUGUGAAGCGCACAAGAGAUUUUGGAGACGCGCGAGAUAAUAUCUCUUCAAUCAAAUUCCAUGGAAGUUUCUCCUCUCGCGGUGCUAUAUCUAACUUUUGUUUUUUUGUCUUUGAUUCCAUUGUCAUUUUUAACUAGUUAGGGUUUGCUCAUAAAAAUAUAUAUAUAUAUAUAUAUAUUUAAGAUGUGUUCAAAAAAAAAAAAUAUGAUUGUAUAAGAUCAAUUUUCCUUCUUAUAUAUAUACCGCCAUUAAAUAAUAUCAUUUUAAAAGAAAUUUUCUUGUUUAUAUUUGACAUUAUUAUAUUUAUAUUUUAAUUUUUCCGGUUUGGACAAAAGUAAAAUCUUAUAUGUUUUGUAACCUGUUUCUUUUGAUUUAGUUAAUUUUACUAAAAUUCAAAAAAGUUAAAACUACAUUUUUCCCUUUGAUCAGGCCACAUUGUAAACACGUUGUAAACUAUAUAUGGUAACACUGACGACUCUCUUUUUUUCCAACAUUCCACGUCUUUGGCCAUUGGACUGCUUGAUGCUGUUCUUGACCUCUUUCUUUCUCCUUGACCAACGAGACCAAUUCUUUUUUUCCCCAAACAGGAUCAUCAGAUAACAAGUUUUGUUGCCCCUCUAAUUAUAUCCAUCAAAUAAACUUGUUGCCCCUUGACAAUCACAGUUCCUUCUCUUUUGUAUCCCUAAUUCUAUUCACCUAAGAGUAGUAAUAGAAUUACAAGAGAAACAAAAUAAAAACAAACUGGGGCUGGCCUGUUUUAAUUUGUGCUCCGAAAUAUUACCUGACAAGACUUGGUCACGACUGCCAAAACAGCUGAUAAUCCUUACUAUACAACGAGCGGUCUUGUAUCUCCAGGUUUGCUACAUGCCGGUUUAUGAGCUGCGACUGCAUUAUCUUACACACGACCAGUCCCACUGGAAAUAUCCACCACUCACUUUCACCCCUGCAUCCCCCCAAAACACAUCAUAAACCCCAAUAGACCAAAACGUAAGAUUGACAAAAGUAUUCCUUUGUAGUGAUACUCACAUGUUUAUAUUCCACGGCUGAAAUGGGAUUUUCUUGCUUGCUGAUGAUUCGCUGUUAUAAUGAACAUAUCCGCAGAGGAAAGCAACAAACUGUCACAGAACCAAAAAACUUGUCAAAUAACGUUAAGACAUGUAACAUCUUCUAAAGAAUCAACACCUACUGAUAUAACUGUUAAAAUCCAUCCUCAUGUGACAGAAGUUCACAUUUGCAUUUGUAAUCGAAACAAGUUAUCAACAACAAAAGAACAAGAACAAAAAGAUCUUACCACAUUAACCAAGGACAUGAUAUUCCACAAAGCGUAAACACGUGCUAAGCCAGCAGAGCGUCUGGGUCCAUGACUGAAUAAGGCAUUGAUCCCAGCGGGGAAUGGCAAAAGCAAGCCGAGAGGUAAUAUAGACAAAGCCAAAAGUACAUCCACCAACGAAAUCGAAUACAGCUGGAGCAGGGUGAGCAAGACUAGACUAAAAUCUCCUAGAAGUAUCAUCGAUAUAACUAAGCCAACCAUAUCCUGUAAUAUCACAAAAAUAUAACAUAGGGAAGAGAAAUUAAAAUUAUUGAAAAGUUGGACGGCACAACAUAUAAUAAGACAUUCAUAUUAUAAGGAUUUUGAUUGGAGAGGUACCUGGUGACCCACAGGUUUCGUGUUGUGAACUAAGAAAGAGAGAAGGAAAAACAUAUCUCUCUUCUCUUUCAGACUCGGUAAGCUGUCAAGGUCGAUUAUUCCUCCGUAGUUCUUUCUUCGCGUUGUAUUAUCCUCAGCGUUUGUGUGGUUUUGAUUGUAGAGCAUAGUCUCUCUUAAAUGUGCCGGAGAAUUCUCUUUAUGUACAGUCACACCGAAACUAAAGAUUACAAGAAUAAGACAUCAAAACCCCGCAUAACUAAAGAUAAGUGUAUAACGGAAACAUGCUUAGGUGUGUGACAUAAGCAAAAAACAACCUUAAACUUCUAAAGUGAUCAUCUUAUGUAUCUAGAAUGCUCAAGUUCAUAUUUUAUAUUCAACUCAAGACAAUACAGCGCAUUCAGAAGAAAUAAUGGUAUCAUGACUGUUGUCACUAAAAUUGACCGUAUGAAAGGAUGCAAUUUCUCAUUUAUUUACCGUGGCUGGAUCUCAGUCCAUGAUGUUUCACUGACAGACUGAGGUGAUGUUGGUUCACAAUCCUCGUCAGCAUGAAUCAAGAGACCGUAUUGGUAGUAACCACAAGCUGUGGUCUGGAACCAGGCUAGAUCAACCCGUAUGCCAUGUGUUUCCAGAGCAGGAUUGGCAUGAGUUUCUAACCAUCUCAGAACAGAAUGAAACGUUGAUCUCAGACGCCCACGGCGAACAAGGCGCAAUUGAGCAUUCACACCAGCCACCAGUCUGUACCAAGUAGUGGGAGGAACGAGCUGGGAAAAUUAAACAAUGACAAAGAUCAGUACAACCUAUAACAUGGCAGCUAAAACUGCUUCUCGUUAACACUAAGGAACCAACCUCACUCAUCAGGCUAGUAAGAAUGUUGUCAUUUUGAAGUGAGAAAGGAGCCAUGUAACUGCCAUCACCACCAAACAAUAUGGGCAUUGGAAACCUUUGGUGAAUACCAGGUGGAAGGUCUGUCCUUUUCUCAUCCCCGCCAAGGAAGAAAUCCAGAUAUGCAAGCAUCAAAUCAGGGGUGGCAGCGACCUAAAUUUAGAAGAAAAAAAUAUGAAUAGCAAAGUAAGACAACAAAUCCUUGUAAAACGAAUCAGAGAUUCUGAAAAAUCUGUAGUCCUGUUAAGCAGUUAUGAGAUCAAAUAAAUCCCACAGGAAUUACCUUCAGACCCUCGUAUAAAGCGCGGGAGCGACAGGAGCGCAGACAGGAAUGAUCAUAUUCUGAACGUACAAACUCACGCAAUUUUUGCAACUUCAACUUCCGCCGCCAUUGCUGCCAUGACCACGCAAGCGGAUAUGCAACCACCGAAAGAAUACUAUAUAUUGCACCUUCCCACCAUUGAUAUGCAGCUAUAGAGUUGAUUUCGUCGACAAACGUGUUAAAUGCAGCCUCAUAUCUAAAGAACCCAAAACCAAUAGCGCCAAGGCUAUUAGAUAACUAUAGACAAAAUAAUGAGACAUAGUUAAAAGCUAGGAAAUAAAAGAAGAAACAACUAACACUAUCUCUUUUAUCUCUUCUGGGGGAAUAUGCGAGAGAUGCCAUGGCUCACUGAAUGUAUUAGGACCCAUAAAGUACAUUCUAUGCACAUGACUCUGCGAUUGCUCUGCUCUAUUUGUUUCCAACACCUGAAAAAAGGAACAACAUUAUAAUCAAUAACACUGUAUUAUAAGGAAUAUUUGGCAGGUUCUUUUGCUCAGUUAUGUCUGCUAGCCAUAUAUUAGUUGCAUCUGGAGUGACAAAUCAGAAAAUACAUAAAUCAUUCUUCGUUUGCUUCCAGAAAGUACGACAACCAAACAAUCUUGGAUCUAAUGUUCGAAGACAAAGAAAAUCAUCUAACCUCAUUCAGUGAUUCAAGGAAAGGGAAGGAAUGAUCUAUUUGAGAGCCAUGAUGCGUGGGUGCUGGGCCAGGUAAAUCAUCAACUCCAACAAAUUUCAUCCGUGCAACACUAAGUACAAGUGCUAAUAGGAUGAGGAGACCCAUCAGAAGAAGACCAAACAACCAAGGCCCACCAAAUGUGUAAAUUAACUCCUCCAGAGCGGUGUAACAGUGUGGCAUGUGAUACCUUUCCGAUAUGCAUCGAUAUGGACAUGGUGUCUCAGAAACACCACCUGUUAUUAAGCAUAGAAAUUCCAAGGUUUAUAGUUGAGACAUAAAAAUGUUCGCCACCAAUUUACAGGCACAGAAUUUGUAAGAAAAAAUAUUCAUUACCGUGGGAAAAUAAAAGGUAAAAAGUUUAGGCUUGGUAGUUGAACGGGAAACAAAACUUAUAUCACCCAAAAAUAGGAAUUUUUUAUAGCAUAUAUGUAAUAUACAAGAGCUCCAGAUUUAUGCGAAAGGCUAUUAUACCUCGAACUGGGACAUAGACAGCACGAGAUGGAAGUUCAUCAACGGGACAAGGAAGGCAAAGAGACCUGUCAGAUCCAGUAACAUUCUUGAAUGUACCAGAUGGACAUUCCUGGAGAAAGAGUAGAAUUGUGAAUAUAAUGAGAACUACAUUAAUAAUUCAAUCGUAAUAAGGGAACAAAAGACAAAUAGAAAAUUUCAGCCCUGAUAUUAUAGAGCAGGAAAAUGUUGAGCAAAGUUUUUCUAACCUUGCAAAAUAUACCGUGGAGUCCCUUUGGACAAGGCUUCCCCGUUAUGGUGCCAUUUUUACCGGAAAAACCAUCAUCUACUGCCGCUCCCCCCCUACAAUUACAAAAAGAAACAGUGUGUUAAUGCGACAGGCUGGAAAGCGAUAUCAAAUAAUAGCGAAGUAGUGUUAAAUGCAGUCAAUGACGGGAAAACAUACUAAUGCCAUGGAAAACAGGUCAAAGAUUUGGGAAUGCACACGUAUUUAGAGGACAGACCUUGCAUGGAUUAUUCCGUUUACACUAGCAAUAGGUUGGUAUAUGUCCCCAGUGGGAAUGUUUGACCAAUGAAAAUGGAUCCUCCCACCUCCGCCACCACCACCACCAGCAGGACUGCCUGACCCACCACCACUUGAGAGAAGAGACGACUCUCCCAAAAUAAGAUAACGCAGGAACAAAAGAACUGUUCCGCCAGAACCACCACCAGGUGCUACAACAGAACCAUUUUCAUCUCUGCUCGAACGUUUGACACUUUCUCCAUCAGCCCUAAUUGACCCUUCAAGUGAUAAAGCAGAUAGAGGCUGCUCCAUUGAACCAAUCACUGACCAGAUUCAAAGGCAAAGAAAGAACAUGUUAAACAGUAUAAUCAUGAAUGCUAAAGCUUUCAUGGCAACUACAUGCCUGCACAACAGUGUAUGGCCUAAACCAUGACAAGCUUCUACAAUGUUAAUGGCCUACGAAUCAUAAACUUGUCACAAACAACAAAAUACAAUUCGCCAAAUAUAUUCGCCACACCAAAUACCAAUAGUCAGCAGUCUACAUCAUACAUUUUGCAUCAAAUUCCUAUGAACACAGCCUAAUCUCUCAAGUUUACUAGAACUCCAGAAUCAUCAAAAUCUCAAACAAUUCAUACCUACAAUACCACCACCAGAAGAUGAAUAGUCUGCGCUAUAAUCGCCACUUCCACUGCCAAGCUCGCAAGGGAGUUCUGCAUUUCCAUACGUAAUUCCACCUUCAACACAACUGUUAUUGUAACAUACACGGCCCCCUUUACCGCCAUGUCCACCACCACUACCAAAGCCAUUUCCAAGCAAUUUACCUUCACCUACACCACCUCUACAACCUGUGAUAACACGAAAAAAUUGCAUAAGUGUGAUGCUAAAAGUACAUUAAAAAGUAUAAGAACAUAUCUUCUUUCUCCCUAUGAAUGGGUAGCACCUAAUAUAUUAUAAUUAGGGAGUAAGCCAAGGACAUGCCCAUACGAAAUGUAGAGGAUGCGCGAUCAAAACAAAAUCCAAAGGGAAAAUAGUUAUUGUUACCCAUUCCACUGGCACUAAUCUCUCCAGAAGGUUCAAGGGUUACUGUUUUUGCACGGUGGAAAUGAACUACUGAUCCUUUGAUGAAACCUUCAACGAUAAUAUCCUCAACACGGCAUAUCUAGAAAGAAAGAAACGUUAUCAGAAUUUUCAUGCUAGAGCAUACGAGUUUAAACACAGCAGACAUACCUGUAGAGUAAAGGAUAGAGAUGCAUUAACAUUGCAAUCCUCUGGAGGAUGCAGUAGCUCAUAGGGGCAAUCUUGCCGAUCACAAUAGAGCUUUGGUGUACUGCAAAGGAUGAGAGUUUAAUUAUUGUCAGCUGAUAUUAUCUUCGAAGAAUAUGGAAUCAAACUAAGCAUAAUAUGGCAUUUCCUAAAAUCUUACACAGCAUCUCGGGAUGCAUUUUGUAGAGGACCACGCAAAAUAGAUCCAGGCCCAACCUACAAUUUAAAAAAAAAAGUCAUUAUCUCCUGAACCACAUCAAGCACCUUUUUACAUCUAUUAAUUAGAAAAGCCAAUAUGGUCUCUAAAGGAAACCGAUAGUCAAAUUAUGCAUGUUUCAUUGCAUUUCCGCGGCAAUGAACACCACCGCCUAUUUUUCAUCAGCACAUAUAGUCAUCUGAUGCAGGAGUGUCAUCAAAAUAAGUACUAGGAACCCACUUACAUAAAUCUGGUAAAACAGUGACAAAACAAGCCGUUGUGCUUCAAUGGAAUCCCCUGGUCCAGUAAGAUUCAAGAGACCUUGUCCAUGGACUCCAAGAUUUGCAUUUGACCGAAUGACAGAUGAUUCCUAAUUUAGAUUGAGAGGUCAUACAAACAAAUUAGAUGAAACGGCUUGUAACACACUAUUUGGAGGAGGAAAACAAUGACAUGAAUUUGUGAUUACCCUAAGAACAAAUAAAUUGCUAGCUUCGAGUAUGGAAGUCGAUACAGUUGUAUCUACUCCUCCUCCAUCUAUAUGCAAUUCUGAAUUCCACAUCAAGAACAUCUUAACGGUCAUGCGUAAAGCCCCAUAAACCUGGUACAUACCAAUAACGCAAAGCAUGACGAACAAAUGAUUUACAUGAGAACCAAAAUAGAAUAUGGAAUAUGAAGAAUGGGCAGAUAAACCAUGAAUGAAGCAGAUAGUAGCAGCACAGAAAUAUUCGUAUCUAGCGCAGAAAGCAUGAUCUGGAUCAGAAUUUCCGAAAAGUGGAGAACCAGGGAUAGACUCACCUUGAUAGUGGAAUCACUCAUUAAGAGUUCUUCGGCCAAUAAUUCAAAUACUGAUGUACCAUAAUGAGCCAAUCCGAAGCUCAAAACGCCUCCACACAACAAACUAAUUUGCCCUUGAACCUACAUAUUAAGUAUUUGAGUACUACAUCUUUAAUUUUACAAAAUAAUAUGCUGAAAACUGGAAAUCUCACUGAACACCUAAAUUUUAUAUACACAGGGAAGACUAAAGUGUACAGGAAAGACACUAGAGUUGCACAAAAAAAAGAAACAAUAUCAUUUUAUAUGAGAUCACAAAUAGCCCUAGCAUUACAACUGCGGAAGGUGAUCAAAUAGUUGACCUACAAAGCCCAUGCAAUGGAAAUUCACUUUUGAAAUACCUGAACACGACUCCAUAGCAGAGGACAAGUUGCCCGCGCUUUAUCCUGAAUAUAAACAUUGGUCCACAGAGGCUGGAAGGGGAAUUCUAAGAGAAGAGUGUAAGUAUCUGUCGUCAGAUUGUAGUUGCUAACGAAAAGGCUUCGGGGAACAGCAUCGUAUAGAGUCCCAGCAGCACCUGAGUUAUCUGGACAUCCGAUACUGUAUCCGCCUGCAUGUGGUUUCAUGAAAUUAGUUCACAUGAUUGCCGAUGUUAAGCAAGUACGGAAAUACUCGCUGGAAACAAAGUAACUAAAUAAAUAUCUGAAUGUAGAAUUUUGCUGGUGAUGAUCUAUCAGCUGAGAAAAUGGAAUUAUAGCAUGAAACCUAUUGGUUCAUAUUUUAGGACCCAAUAAAAUUUUGCAACACACAAGUUCUUGAAAUGUGGAUAUAUUUACGAUGGCCUGAAAAAAACAGGGACUUCCUAGGGACGAGAAUCUAACCAUGCACAAAGAUCUUUGGGUCAUCAUGCCUGCUAAAAAUAUUGACAGAGACUCUUCCACCACCUCCACCACCGUAACCAUUCCCACCACAUGCACUAAUCUGUCCAAUUCCAGUCCUGCACUUCAAAUAACAGCAAAGCAGAAGAUGCUAACUGAGAUCAAUUUACCAAGAAUCUGAGAAGACAAAAGACAUGGGUUGUUUCAUGUGUACCAUACAAUAACGAACAGCAAAUUUCGGAGAGUUAUAACCAAGAUCUAAAAUAUUUAAAAAUAAAUAUGCCCUGAAUAAGAUGAAUUCUUAAUCACACAUCCUAACGAGAACUAGGACGAGAACAGAGACCCUAUAAAGCACAGUCCUAGCAUACAAUAUUCAACCAUGAGUGGAUCAUGCAACUCUGUUCAUUUCCUCAAACUCAACAUGCGCUAAAGAUUACGUUCUUGAGAUAAAAAUCAGGACCUAGCAAUUAAUAAUGCUUAAUCUAUUGCAAAUCUUGCCUUCUCUGCUGACUAAAAAGACUUAAAAUCCAGGGAAAAAACAGCAUAGAAUCGAAAGUACGUUACAUCUUAUAUGCCGUGAUGUAGACGCUGCCACCAGACCCACCACCACCUUUAGCUCCUCCAUAACCUCCGUCCGCCAAAAGGCUCCCAUUAACAUCCAGAAACUGCGUUACAUUCAUCUUCACUCUCCCACCCCCUCCUCCCCCAUAAUCAAUCUCCCUGCUCGUCGACCCGCCUUUACUCCCAUAACUCCACGGCUCAUCCAGAGUCGACCACGAGUACGCAUCCCCUCCCCACACAUCUUCCGCAAGCUUCUUGGUAUCAGUCAAACAACAAGCUCCCCUCCCACCAUGCCCUCCACCAGCACCAUCAAUCCCCUGCGGCGUCCCACUGGUCUGCGCCGGAGGGCUCCCAGCUAAACCCGUCGUGUUCACCGCCGAUCCAUCAGCAAAGCUAGCGUUACCAGCCGAAAGCUCAAAGGUCCCGGCAACAAUCGUGGACUCAGCUCCCAGAGAGAAGUUCCCAGAGACGUUGAUAGCUAUAGAGCAACCAGGGAUCGAGCAGUGAAACUUAACACCAGGCAAGAUAAUAAAAUUACCCUUCCCAGCUAUGUACACAUCUUUAGUAAGAUUCAAAUCGGCGACGAUCUUACAAGUAGUAUCUAGAAACCCAACGCCGCCGAGAUCCUCGCUGCAGGACACCGAGGGCCCGUGCGGAGGCGGCGGCGGCGGAGCAGGCGGGGAGUAAUCCUGGUGGAAAAGCAGCGACUCUGAAUCCGAAUCCGGGUCUAAACCACCCGAAUUGGGCUCGACAAUGGCGAAUCGGUAGCUUGAGCUAGGGUUUACGGCAAAAACCGCAGCAGCUACGAAGAAGAAGAGGAAUUGAAAUCGAGCCAUCUAGUAGUUUCGUCAACAGUCAUCACAGACGAAGUCUAGUGAGGUUUUCGAUUCGAUCCCAAUUCGGAUCAUUGAGCUUAGGGUUGACGCGUGAUUGAAAACCCAGAGACUCAAUUAAACACACGCGCCUAUGCAGAAUACAUCAACGUGCGUGUGUGUGUGUGUGCAUGUGUAUGUAUAGUCGUCUUGCUCGAGAAGAUUUGGAGAAAAAGCGUAUAAACCCCCACACCGAAAACUGCUCUUGUAGAGAGAGAAAUGUUGCUUUUUCCUUGCUCGGGUAGAGAGAGAAAGAGAGAGGGAAGAGAGAGCUUUCGAGGAGAAAGUAACAGGUUGGAACGGAGAGUAGUUGCGAUCAGGUGCGUGCGGCUUCACCGUAAUCGCGAAGAAAUCAGCAAAAUCUUCUUUUGGAUAUAGCAAAUCAUAAUAUGCCAUGUGUAUGUUUAUUUCAUUAAUUAUCGAAUAGUUGUAUGACAGCUGUUAUAUUACGUUUUAAUUACUCGCUUUGCUGUUAAACUGUAUCUUCCUAUUAUGGAACAGUGUUUACAUUGGGCCUGAUAGGCCCUGAUUCCUAUGGAGUUUAAUGUACACGUGCUACGCUUGAGUGUGAGUGUCCAACUUUUUUUUUUUUUGCAUCUCAUUUUAUUAACUUAUUAAAGAAAGUCGUGUGAGUAAAGACAAAAAUUAACAAAUCUGGCUGGCCCAAUAGAAAGCUAGCGGCAUUAUCAAUUCAAGACCCAAUUUUUUUUUUUUUUCCCAAAUUGUUUUUAUUGAUUAAAAGGGCCAAGUCCAUGGCCGAAGCCCACAAACAAAAAGCCCACUAGCACGAGAGGUAACUUAUAACAAAGGCCGAGGCCCAAAUUCAAAUAAACGGUCCAAAGCCCCAAAUACACACAAACGGACGGUUUGCCCUAGAGGUCCACCAAGGAGACAGGCCGGACACGUGUAAACAUCUGGAGAGUCUGCACGCCACGCGUCGUCCGUCUCAACUCGAUCUCCGCCUCUUCGCACAACCGCCGAAACCAGCCACCGACAACCACUUUUCACCGGAGCUCCGAUACUGCAGAGCCUCCGCGUCACCAUGACUCUUCACGGCCGCUCUGUCUUCACGCCGGAGAGAUCGUCGUUCUAACGAGGUCUCCCCCGGCUCUGAACCACCAGAAACCCUAGAUAGGCGCGCCGCGAACCACCGCUAUCUUGGCUUAACUAUCCUCACCGUCGCUGGAAUUCUCUUCCUCAACGACCCACAAACUCAAACUCGAACUACACGACACCCACCAAACUUUAAAUACCUCUAACCCAGUAACCUCACCCCAAAAUUAGGGUUUCAACACGGCGGCGAGGAUCUUUGAGAGCCUCCUCACUCCGUCAUUCAUAAGCCGGCAAAGAAGGAGCUGAAGAAGCCUCCCUUUCCGGAAGCUAGAGCGGCGACGGUGGAUCUGAGAUAGCCUCCACCCCCCGCGAACCGACCGGCGUCGAUGAAUCUAGAGAAGCCUCCAUCGNNNNNNNNNNNNNNNNNNNNNNNNNNNNNNNNNNNNNNNNAUUCGACCAGCGUCGAUGAAUCUAGAGAAGCCUCCAUCGCCCGGAGAAACACAACCCGAACCGACAAGAAAUUCGCCUCCCCCGAGGCUCUCCAAACGAGCGCGUCUUCACUCCAAAAUCCGACCACCGAGAAGGUAAGUUACGGUAUCAGAGCUCCGACAAGGCGUCCGUUGAUGGCACUUCGGAAACAAGAUGGAGGAAAACUAAAUUGCUGAAGCAGGAGUGCUUCCGGCGACGGCACGGACGCUCACGCGCCGGCCGUACGCCGGAGAAAGUCUCUUCUCUCUUCUCUCUCUUCUUUGAACAGUCUAUGAGAGUUAUUAUGAGUGCGAGACCCAAUUUUAAUUUAACAAAUCCAGAUUUACGUUUUUUUAUCAAAAUAAUUAUAGAUAUUGGUAGUCCUCAACUGAGCUUAUUAUCCAAAAUCCAAAAACCGAACCGGAACCGAACGAAAACAUAACAUAUACCCGAAUAUUUUUAAUAUAUUGAAAAAUUUAAUUAUUUUUAAUUUUAAUACAUAUAAAUAUAAUUUAUAAAUAAAAAUAUCUUUAAAAAUCUGAAUAACCCGAAUAUUUUUCGGGUUUUUUUCGGGUUUAACUCGGAUUUUCGUGAUUGUUUCGAUUUUUUUUCGGAUUUUCAUGAUUGUUUUGAUUUUUUGGGUUAUAAACCUGAACCAAAUCCAAAUUAUUUGUAAUACGGUUCCACUUCAGGUUUUAUAAAAAAAAUAGAAAUCCGACCCAAACCCGACAUUAUCCAAACCGAACCGAUCCAAAAAAUGUCUGGUUCCUAAACGGUUCCUAAACAUCUCAACACGAAUAACCCGUAAACCGAAUAAACCGAACCGGCCUGACCCGUAUGCCCAACACUAAAUAUUGGUGUGUAUGAACAACAGCCUACAGCUUCAACGUAUAUGAAAAAUACAAAUUUUAGUGAUGAGGAUAUGUAUUACAUGGAUCCCAUGGCUUAUGGACAUUCUACAUGUUCAAAGUAAGAGAUUGCGAUCAGAAAAGACCAAUUUGAAUCUGUGGGAUACAUUCUAAAAUGCAAUUUGGCGUGACUCAUCACAAUGCAUCUGCUGCUGCGUACUACUCAGGGUUGUCGCAGGAUUCGGGCUCACCGGACUAUACAAUGCACAACAACAACAACAAACACCUGAAAUCUCAGAUGAUUUUUUUUUUGAUAAAAGAAUUUUUUUUGGUAAAAGAAAAGGUGGUUUCACCUCUUUGUCGGAAUCCAAGCAUUGUAAAUAGUUUAUCUCAACGUGAAUUAAACCCAUGUGGCGGUAGUUGCAGCCGCAACCCCUUUACCAUUGGACCAACUCAACAAUGGUUCUCAGAUGAUUUCUUCUCCAGCCUCAGUAACCACAGUUACCAAACUAGAGGCUUUAAGCAGUGAAUAUGUCUGAGGUUAUCAGGUUUAAUUCUACAUUCAAACUAGAAGUCAAUGUUUGUCGUUCUUGCUCUUGAUUGAUGGGACAGUCCUCUCGGUGGCUGAUGUGCCCAUUGUUGUUGUGGCAAUUACUCUGCGUUUUAAAUGAGUGAGAAUUGUUUAUGGUUUCUUGGUAAGAGACUAUUAAUUUGUUAUUGUUUCAAACUUUCAAUAGUGUCUUGCACAACGUAUAAUUUCAAUUUUUCAUCGGAGAAUAUAUCGUGUGUGAUUCUUCUUCUUAGCUUUUUAUGAUUCAAUUUUUGUCAUUAUUUAAUAAAACAGUAUAUCACAUUGAUCACGACCAUUCUUACACGACUUUGGGAGGCUCACUCACUGGUCACAAAAAUUCAUAAAAAAAUAUUAAUUAAUCUUAUCUACAAAAGGAGUAUACACUUUAUGAAGAGAAAACAAAAAAAACGUCUGAAACCAAAAUCAAGAUGUCACCUACUCAGUGGCUACCCACUAUCCUCACCGUAGUCUUCUUCUUCUUGAGCUUAGCUUCACCCUCACAUGGAAGCUCACAAGUUGGAUACGGCUACAUCGUUAGCUCAGUGGCCGUUGAUUCCAACCAGAAGGUCUUGACGGCGAAGCUUGAUCUGAUCAAACCAACGUCCGUUUACGCACCAGACGUUCAAACGCUAAACCUUCAUGUCAGGUCAUAUAAAUAAUCUUCUCCCUCUCUCUAAUCUAUCUACUGAACAAUAUUGAUAUGUAUUUACAUUUACAUAUAAUAUAUGUUACAGCUUGGAGACAAGUGAGCGUUUGAGAAUCAGAGUAACAGACUCUACUCAACAGAGAUGGGAGAUACCGGAAACCGUUAUCCCUCGCGCCGUAACCCACUCUCCUCGCCGUUACUUAACGGAAGAGAACAAUACCUUGGAAGAUCCAUCAUCGGACUUAGUUUUCACACUCCACAAAACGACGCCGUUCGGUUUCUCCGUCUCCAGACGCUCCUCCGGCGACGUCCUCUUCGACGCGUCGCCGGAUCCAUCGGAUCCGAACACCUACUUCGUCUUCAAAGACCAGUUCCUCCAACUAACCUCCGCCUUACCGGAAUCCCGAUCGAAUCUGUACGGUCUCGGAGAACACACGAAGCGAUCGUUCAAGCUGAUCCCGGGAGAUGCAUUGACUCUGUGGAACGCUGACAUCGGGAGUGAGAAUCCGGAUGUUAACCUGUACGGAUCGCAUCCGUUUUACAUGGACGUGAGAGGAUCUAACGGUCACGAUGAAGCGGGGAUGACUCACGGCGUUCUAUUGAUGAACAGCAAUGGAAUGGAUGUGAGGUAUGAUGGAAGUCGGAUUACUUAUAAUGUGAUUGGAGGUAUCAUUGAUCUGUAUGUGUUCGCCGGACCGUCGCCGGAGAUGGUGAUGAAUCAGUAUACAGAGUUUGUUGGAAGACCUGCACCUAUGCCUUAUUGGUCAUUUGGUAAGAGCUCUUUGCUCUCUGUGCAUUUUUACGAUACAAUGGUAGGGCUCUGAGGUCACAGGUUCGAACUUCGUUGAGAGAGAGAUUUGAUCUCAAAAAUAGUUUAAUUACAUGGUUUGGGCCUCGUCCUUGGAGAAUGUACGGAUCAAGAACUCUUCGUAGUCACUAAAAGAAAUUGAGAUGUUGUUUUGCUUUGAAAAUGUUUCUAUAAAUACUUAUUUUAUUGGGGGUUUAUUCUUUUUGGAAGGAUUCCAUCAGUGUCGGUAUGGAUACAACAAUGUGUCAGACCUUGAAUCUGUGGUUGAUGGAUAUGCAAAAGCUGGAAUACCUCUUGAGGUUAUGUGGACUGACAUAGACUACAUGGAUGGCUACAAAGACUUUACUUUGGACCCUGUGAACUUCCCGGAGGACAAGAUGAAAUCAUUCGUGGAUACACUUCACAAGAACGGUCAGAAGUACGUGCUGAUCUUGGAUCCAGGUAUAGACUAUAACACUAUCUCUUAAGAGUCUCUUAACAUAUUUGAUUCAAGAAAUGAACAUUUGGGCUUUGCUUGUAGGUAUUGGUGUGAAUAGCUCCUCUUACGGGACAUAUAACAGAGGAAUGGAAGCAGAUGUGUUCAUAAAACGAGAUGGUGAGCCUUAUCUCGGUGAAGUUUGGCCUGGGAAAGUAUACUACCCUGACUUCUUGAAUCCAUCUGCUGCAACUUACUGGAGCAACGAAAUCAAGAUGUUCUUGGAAACUCUCCCUUUGGAUGGUCUGUGGCUUGACAUGAACGAGUUGUCAAAUUUCAUUACUUCGCCUCUGUCCCCUGGAUCUUCACUCGAUGAUCCUCCUUACCAGAUCAACAACUUAGGGGGCAAAGCUUCUAUCAAUAAGAAGACAGUACCAGCAACAGCUAUCCAUUUUGGGAACGUUAGUGAAUACGAUGCGCAUAAUAUGUAUGGACUCUUGGAAGCUAAAGCCACUCACCAAGCUAUGGAGGAUAUAACGGGAAAGAGACCGUUUCUUUUGUCGAGAUCCACGUUCGUAAGCUCGGGGAAGUACACAGCUCAUUGGACAGGAGAUAACGCUGCGAAAUGGGAGGACUUGGCUUACUCGAUCCCGGGGAUACUCAACUUUGGACUGUUUGGGAUCCCAAUGGUUGGAGCUGACAUCUGUGGUUUCUCAGAUGAUACCACCGAGGAGCUAUGUCGUCGAUGGAUCCAGGUAGAGUGAUUAAUUCAUGUUCAUGUUCAUGUUCUUACUGAGUUCAGUGUUCUAACAUUGGCUCCUUAGUUUUUCAGCUUGGAGCGUUUUACCCUUUUGCAAGAGAUCAUUCGUCCAAAGGCACUGCUAGACAAGAACUAUACCUAUGGGAUUCGGUUGCUGCUUCCGCAAGAAAGGUUCUCGGCCUUCGUAUGAGACUCCUCCCACAUCUAUACACACUAAUGUACGAGGCUCACGUUAGUGGCGUCCCUAUAGCGCGGCCGCUCUUCUUCUCCUUCCCUAGAGACACUUACACCUAUGAGAUCAGCUCGCAGUUCUUGAUCGGUAAAAGCAUAAUGAUAUCUCCCGCGCUGGAAAAAGGGACAGUGUCCGUCGAUGCAUAUUUCCCCGCAGGGAACUGGUUCGACAUGUUUAACUAUUCGUUUGCCGUCGGUGGAAGUUCCGGCAAGCGUGUUAGUCUUGAUACUCCCGCCGAUCACGUCAAUGUUCAUGUUCGAGAAGGUAGUAAAUUUUAAGUAAUUUCCGGUUUGAUAAGGAACUUGAGAUUGAACCGAACUAACUAUUUGGACAGGUAGCAUUGUGGCUAUGCAAGGAGAAGCAAUGACGACAAGAGAAGCCAGAACGAAACCGUUUGAGCUUCUAGUUGUAGCCAGCAAGCUUGAGAACAUCUCGGGCCAACUGUUUCUCGAUGAUGGCGAAAACAUAAGGAUGGGAGAGGAAGGAGGGAACCGUGAUUGGACCCUGGUGAAGUUCCGGUGCUACGUAAACGGAAAAUCCGUGGUGCUGAGAUCAGAAGUGGUGAACCCGGAGUACGCGUCUAGGAUGAAAUGGAGCAUCGGGAAAGUGACGUUCGUUGGGUUUGAGAACGUGGAGAGCGUGAAAACAUACGAAGUUAGGACUGGGGAGAGGUUGAGGGGGCCAAGAAUCUCUCUUCUCAAGACUGUUGUGGACGAUGAUGAUCCCAAGUUUAUGAGUGUGGAGGUUUCUAGACUGGCGUUGCUUGUUGGGAAGAAGUUCGAGAUGCGAUUGAAAUUGACUUAAAGAAAAGGUAUCUAUUUUAUAAACCCAAUAAGAUGAUAAAUUUGUGGAUGCUUAAUAAUAAAUAAAAAGAGUAAAGAUUUCGCAACGUUAUUACAUCAAUCAAGUUCAUAAACAUUGGAGAAAAUUUUCAGACAAGAGGCUUCAGUUUGGUUCAUAGACACUGUAUUAAUAGCAGCGCAAGUCAAUCAAAGAGCUAAAGUAGUUACCUCUACGUCGCUUGCGAAUCCAACAUCAGAAAGAUCAUUCUCCAGAGCUUUCACCAGAGUUUCAAAGUGGGUUUUGGUUACACUGGUCAAAGUAGUUAGUUUUGUCCGAAAACCCUUGAAGUCUUGUUUUGGAGUGUCUUCAGGAUAUUGAAACACCUCUGAUUCCAACUCUACGCAUUUGUGGAGCCUCUCCAGACCAGACUCAGCCUCUCCUUGCAUAUACUCGAAAAACUGUCUCUUUUCCUGUUCAGAUUCAAGUAGAUAGUACCCGUAUGCAUAUGUCCAUUUCAGCACCCUUCUGCAUUCAAUGAUCUGAAGCCACGCAUCUGUGAUGAACCCGAGCUCAGUUUCUGGUAUGCAUUGUUUGUCACUAAGCUUCAUAACAUCCACUGAUAGGAACUUCUCUAGAUCCCCUAUAGCUUUUUGCCUCGACGUUUGAUUGCCUGCCCAGCGCUCAUAAUAAUGAGUGUAUUUCUCUAGCGAGUGCUUUGCCAUCUCUCGCUUCAUUUCAGCCUCAUCAUGCAGUCCUUGUCCCUUAGCCUUCGAAUACCGGUUGCAUGUAUAAGGCCCGCCAGUGCCUUCCCCGUGUUCCGACCAUGCGCCAAGGCAAAGCCAACAAAACUGAUGUCUGCAAGGUGGUGUGCAUGACAUGUGCAUGCAUCCACGGUUCUUUUCAAUUGGACGCUUACACUUGGGACAAGGCUUGGAAUUGUCGAGUAUCCACUUGGUAUUUUCAGCUUCAACGCUGUUCUUGCGUAUCCAUUGCGAAACCCUGUCACAAUCCACAGGACGGUGAGCGUCUUGGGUGCAAUUCCAGCAGAAGCUAUGCGAACACAAGCAUGAAACAUCGUAACUACUUCCGGUCCCGGUGGCAGAAAACUCAAUGGCAUGCUCACAUCCUGGGGCAGGACACCACUUGGUCUUUUUGUUUUCUUCCACAUAAGAUCUAAGAAAAUACCUAUCAUACUUGUCCUUGGCUUCAAAGGAAGCCAGUUUCUCGACCAUGUCUCGACCAACAGCAACUGGACAAGAUGGCUCAGGACAUUUUUGCAUCAAACAUCCCGGGCCAUCGUUGAUGGCUAUGCUGAUGUAACUUGUCCAGCAUGUAGAACAGAAAGCAUGACCACACAUAAUCGGUACAAUAUCUAUACGACAGAAGUAGUCAAAGCAUAUUCCACAAGCAACUUUUCCUCCUUCGGAAUAUGGAACAAUAACAGAUCCUCCUUCCAAGCCAGCACUUGUCCGAACUCUCCUCUCAUCCGCAAACCAUUCAUCAUUAACUUUACCAACAUUCCAGUGAUAGUGAAGAAGCAGAACACUAGCUUCGACCUUGCUUAGGGAGAGUAUCAUGGAAACUUGUGCAAUAUCACUCUCUUGUUGUCUACGUAUAUCUUCUUCCUUAAGAACGACAUAAUUCAUAUGGGAGCGAGGCGAGGAGAUCAUUGAGGAAUCGUCAUCGUCAUCCCCAAGGAAACCCGUGUCAUCUGUAUCAUCAUCAUGAUCGGCCCCGUCGUUGUAAUCACCUGCACCGUCGCUGUAAAGAUCUUCCUCUCCAGAUUCCAUAUAGUAGUCAUCGGAAUCCAUAAUCCUCUUCCCUUAGUCGCUACGGCAGACUAUGGUGUUGAUAGAUAUGCACAUAUACGUUUGUGUUAAAAAGAUAUUAUUCCAUAUUUUCCUAUGUUUUGUUUUACCUUUUGCAUAAUGAAUUUAGGAGGAGUCUCUUUGUAUUUACAAAUGUUCUAAGAUACAGUUGGUACAUCCGUAUAUACCGGUGUAUAUACAGUUGGUUUAGAUGGACACUUUUUUUUUUUGUCAACAGAUGAACACAAACAGAGCGUUUAUACAGUGUUUAUACAUAAACACCGUUUAUACCUUCACAAUUUAUAAGCUAUAUUUUAAAGGAAAUUUUAGUAAACAAUUAUAAUUUACCUGUUUGAUUCUUUUGAUUUCGUUUGAUCGUACCAGUUUAUGUUUUUUUUUCAAUAUUUCAUAAAUAGUUAUAACGUAUCAUUUAAAUUAUGUUUGCUAUAUAUAUUUUAUAUUUACAUAUAAUUUAUAUAAUUAUUUUAAUUAAUACUAUAAUAUUUAUUUAGAAUAUGACUAUCGUAUAUACUAUCUUAUCGUAUAUAUCCAAGUGCCAUACAGUAAUCAAUCAUCCGACUGGCGUAUAGCGUAUUUUAGAACAAUAGUAUUUACAUAUAUCUUUUUUUUCUUCUUUUGACAUAUUUUUUUUCUUUUAUUCUCUUUCUGUUAUUUUUAUUUUAGAUAACAUUCCAUAUUAAAAUAUUCUAAAAACUUCAAGAGAUUUCAUUACCUCUUUUAAUAUUCCAGCUAAUUAUUGUAAUAAUUUAAUAUAUGAAAUUUUAAUAUGUGAUAUUCUCUCGUUUUAAGGGAAUAAAAAUAUUUUAUCUUCUUAAUAAAAUAUUAAUAUUAUUUUAUAUAGUUUAUUAGCAUAUUUGACCUCAAUUGUUUUGCAUUCAUAUCACGAGUCUUUUGCAUUCGAUUAGUUUUAAAUUUUUAAUUGUCCUCGUUUAACCCAAAAAUUUUAAGAAUAUUUUUUUUGUCACACAUACACUUAAUUUUAAAAAUGUUAAAAUUUCUAAUUACCCUCGUUUAACCCAAAAAACGUUAAAACCACAAUUAAGCGUUUGGCUGCACGUCCCUAAGUUUGAUUUAUUCCUAAAUCCUACGUAGUCACGGAGUACUUUAUGUCACUUAAAGGUAUUAGCGCCGACUAGUUUCGGAUCAGGGAUGACUACGGGUUGCGGAAAGCUCAUAAGAGCGACUACGGACUGUGGAACAUUCUUGUUUAAAAAAAAAACGUUAAAACCACAUAAUUCUAGAUAUUAAUAAUCGCUUUAUAUAUCAAACCACGAGAGCAGACCAGCGGGUGAACUCCAGAAAAAAAAACAAACCAUUUCACUUUACUUUUCUUUUCAAAGUCUGUCUUGUCGAUUUAUCAAAGUCCGUCUUUCUCAAGGCUUCGAGACAGAUUCGUAACUUCUCAGUGUUUUUCCUCUUAAUCUUCGCACUAUUUGAUUUUCUUUUUGCCUCUAAACUCGACACGUGGACUAUCAUCCUCCACUUAGUUUUCAUCAAGUAGCUAUUAGCUCAGGGGUCCGCUUACGUUCUCAGAUCAACUCUCCGACGGUUGCAAAGGUGAUCGCUCAUUGCCUUUUCCAGUGAAGUAAUUAGCGAUUGGAUCAAAGCUACUUCAGUGACUAGCGACGAGAUCUAAGUAACUUAGGAUUGAUAAUAGUGUUCAAAGGAUGCAGACUAUCUCUAGGGUUCUACAAGAAGGUAAAGAGAACGGAAUCUUGGUUAGGACAGGACAGUAUAAGUCGUUUAGACCGAAACUGCUUCUUCUCCUAGGUCUUUUUCUUGCUGUUGUUGUCACUAUCUUCAUCAUUAGUGUCUCUACAAUCAACUCCACUGAACUACAAAGUGUAGUAACCACGGUUACUUCCACCUUUGUCCCAUGCCGUGAAGACGAACCGAACAGUUUAGGUAAAUGGAUACAACCUCCUACGGUUCUGAUGCACAACAUGACCGAUGAAGAGCUUCUUUGGCGUGCCUCUCUAUGGCCUCGGAGAAAAGGAUAUCCUUUUAAAAGGGUUCCAAAGAUUGCCUUUAUGUUCUUGACCAAAGGCCCCUUGCCACUUGCUUCGCUUUGGGAGAGGUUCUUGAAGGGUCACAAGGGGCUUUACUCUGUUUACGUUCAUCCGGAUCCGUCUUUUAAUGCCAAGUUUCCAGCUGAUUCUGUUUUCUACAAGAGGCAGAUACCGAGUCAGGUACGCUUCUUAUGAGUCUCUUUCGCUAUAGACGAUUUAAUAAAGAUUUCAAUAGUUGAGUUAUUCUGGGGCUGAAUGUUUCGUCCGGCUUGGUCCAGGACCUGCCUCUUGGGAUUACUAAUCACAUAUAUCAGAAAACGUAACUCUUGAAUCAGACUUGUGUCUUUAGUAGUAACUCUUGGUUAUGUAUUUGAUUUGGUUGUAACUUGAAUGUGUGUACAUCACUGAGCAGGUUGCAGAAUGGGGGAGAAUGACCAUGUGCGAUGCAGAGAAGCGGCUCCUCGCCAACGCGCUUCUCGAUAUCUCCAACGAAUGGUUUGUCCUAGUCUCAGAGUCGUGCAUCCCUCUCUACAACUUCACAACGAUCUACACCUACUUAAGCCAAUCAAAACACAGCUUCAUCGGUGCUGUUGACGACCCUGGACCCUUCGGUCGAGGCCGAUACAACGACAACAUGGAGCCUGAAGUUCCCAUCGCCAAAUGGCGAAAAGGGCCACAAUGGUUUGAGGUAGACCGGAACCUGGCAGCUACCAUUGUGAAAGACGCAUUGUAUCACCAGAAAUUCAGAGAGUUUUGUAGGCCUGCUUGCUAUUCAGACGAGCAUUAUUUCCCUACGAUGCUCACUAUUGAGAAACCGACGGCGUUGGCUAACCGGAGCGUGACGUGGACGGACUGGUCUAGAGGCGGGCCCCACCCGGCUACGUUUGGGAGGUCGGAUAUUACAGAGGAGUUCUUUGGAAAGAUCUUUGAUGGAGAGAACUGCAGUUACAAUGGUCGUAACACUUCCAUGUGUUAUCUUUUCGCGAGGAAGUUUGCUCCUAGUGCUUUAGAGCCGCUGCUCCACAUUGCUCCCAAGAUUAUGGGGUUUUGAGUUAGUACAGUAGUGUCUAUGAUACGGACAGGAUAUGGAUUAUAUGAGAUAUUUUGCGCCAAUAUCCAUUUUAUUUGUUUGUUUUAUACAAGUUUGGAAUAAACGAGGUAUUAUAACUGAGAACGUUGCACAACAGGAUCUUGUAACUUUAGACGUCAAAAGAAAAAACUAUGUAGCUCAAUUUUUUUGGUUCCUGACGUUAAGCCCGAUGCUUAAAUUAGAUAAGAAGCUAUAAGGUUAGGUUAUAAGUACUGAAAUACUACCUACAGCACAAGUGGCAAUGGGAACAUAACACGGACACAGGUGUAUAAACACAUUUUUAACACAUUCACUCUCUUUUCCUUUAUUUUCUUUUUGUUAUUUUUUGUUUUAGAUAAAAAUCCAUAUUAAAAUAUUCUAACAAGAUUUUAUUAAUUUUUAUAGAACACAAGAAAAUUUCAUUACCAUUUUUAAUAUUCUAACUAAUUAGUUUAAUCAUUUUAAUAUAUGGAAAUUUAAUUUGAGCUUAUUAAACAUUUUGUGGUUUUAAGGGAAUAUUUAUAUUUUAUUUAAUAAAUAUUAAUAUUAUAUAUAAAUGGUAAACAAUACUAAUAUAUUUUUCUUUUUGCACAGUUUUUUAAAGCUGAUAUUACAAUUAUAAAUCAUAUUAAAUAGAUGAUUUCACAACCGAUAAAUAAUGAGGAUUUUAUGUUUAAAUGCAUUAUUCCAACCGUCUUAUAAAAAUUUGACCAUGUUUAUUUGCACAAUGCUAAAAAAAAGUCUGCAAGGAUUCUCACCCAUAAUGUGUCUACUUGUUUAAUAAUCCGGAACUGGAAAAAGGGAGGUUACCCACUGUUCAGUAGCCUAUUUGACCUCAAUUGUUUUUGCAUUAACAUAUCGCCACGAGUCUUCUGCAUUCAUUAUUCGAUUACUUUUAGUUGCCCUCGUUUAACUCAUAAACUUUAUACUAAUGUUCAAAGGCUGCAGACUAUAGUGUUCAAAUUGAUACUUAAAGAUUGAUAUAGAGUCUCUCUAUAGCGUUCAAAGGAUGCGGUCUAUGGUUGUACAGUUGGAAGAAGGGAAAGAUAACGGAAUCUCGGUUAGGACAGAACAGUAUAAGUCAUUUAGACCGCAACUGCUUCUUGUCCUAGGUCUUUUUCUUGCUGGUGUUGUUACUAUCUUCAUCAUUAGUACAAACAAGUAUACUGGACUACAAAGUGUAGUAACCACAGUCACUUCUAGCUUUGUCCCACGCCGCGAGGAGGAGCCUGACGGUUUAAGUAAAUGGAUACAACCUCCUGGGGUUCUGAUGCAUAACAUGAGCGAUGAAGAGCUUCUUUGGCGAGCUUCUUUCUGGCCUCGGAGAAAAGGAUAUCCGUUUAAAAGGGUUCCAAAGAUUGCCUUUAUGUUCUUGACAAGAGGCCCCUUGCCUCUUGCUUCGCUUUGGGAGAGGUUUUUGAAAGGUCACAAGGGGCUUUACUCGGUUUACAUUCAUCCCCAUCCAUCUUAUACAGCCAAGUUUCCAGCUGAUUCUGUUUUCUACCAGAGGCAGAUACCAAGUCAGGUCCGUAAAUUUUUGUUAAUGCUUUUUUAACAAUAAAAUGUUCAAAUAGAUAAUGGCUUUGUAAUUAUUUUAAUUUGUAUUUAUUAAAAAUUAUUUAUAUUUUUUAAUAAUAUUUAAGUUUAAAUAUUUUUGCUACUAGUAACAAAUAUUUCUAGAUCCGCUAUUAAUAUCUAGAAAACAUCGUUGCGCAGCUUGCACAAUGGGGGAGAAUGAACAUGUGCGAGGCAGAGAGGCGGCUUCUCGCCAACGCCCUGCUAGAUAUCUCUAACGAAUGGUUUGUUCUAGUCUCAGAGUCAUGCAUCCCCCUCUUCAACUUCACAACAAUCUACACCUACUUAAGCCAAUCAAAACACAGCUUCAUGGAUGCUUUCGAUGACAAUGGACCCUUCGGUCGAGGCCGCUACAACGAGAACAUGGAACCUGAAGUUCCCAUUGCCAAAUGGAGAAAAGGGUCACAAUGGUUUGAGGUAGACCGGGACCUGGCAGCUACCAUUGUCAAAGACACAUUAUAUUACCCGAAAUUCAGAGAGAUUUGUAGGCCUGCUUGCUUUUCAGACGAGCAUUAUUUGCCUACGAUGUUGACUAUUGAGAAACCAAUGGCGUUGGCUAACCGGAGCAUGACGUGGACCGACUGGUCUAGAGGUGGCUCUCAUCCGGCUACGUUCGGGGAAUCAGACAUUACAGAGAACUUCUUUCAAAAGAUAUUUGAUGGUGUGAAUUGCACUUACAAUGGUCGUAACACUUCUAUGUGUUAUCUCUUUGCGAGGAAGUUUGCUCCUAGUGCUUUGGAGCCGUUGCUUCACAUUGCUCCCAAGAUUAUGGGGUUUUAGAGAUUUUACGCCAAUAUCAUUUUAUUUUGUUUGUUUUUAAUACAAGUUUGGAGGUUAAGCAUGAUGCUAAAGUCAGAUAAGAAACUAAAAGUUUGGUCAUAAAACCGUAUAGACAAUAGGACAAAGGCUGAUAAGGCAGGCUCUUGUCUCCAACUCAUCACCUUAUGUCUUAUGAUUCUUAGAAGUUAGUAGUAAUUUGUUAACCGACCAAGGUUUUGUUUGGUUUGAAUGUGAAUACUUAAUACUUGGCAAAAGUGGCAUUGUGGCAAUGGGACAGAACACAGCCAGGUGUAGACGCACUUUUACACCUACCGAACUUCUCGAACCCAUCAAGAGCCUUGCCAUUUGCCAACACUUCAACCAUCUGUCUUUCUCUUAAUAAAAAAAUAAUCCAAUGGGCAAAAUUCAUUGUUUAAAAGAUUUCAGCAGGCUAAUGUUUAUUUUAUUGGAAUGCAGAAAGGAUACGAUAAUGCGGAAUUUAUUUAUUCGUUAUUGUUUACCACGUAUAACCUAUGGUUUAUUUAGAAUAGAGAGAAAUUCAAGAAAGGGUUCACAGCUGUGAGUACCGCCACCUAGGUAAACCGGGGCGUCUAGCUCUGGUGGUAAAGGGUUCACAGCUGUGAGUACCGCCACCUAGGUUCGAUUCCCGGCCACUGCGAAAUUUAACAUUCGGGCCGCAGCGACACAGAUUAGUCCCUUGGGCCUGGGAAGCCUUUGGGGAAACUGUGUAUAAUUCAAAAAAAAAAAAAAAGAGAAUCCACCAACUUAUCGAAAGCUAAUGAAGAAAGUAGUUUUUGUCUUUCUUCAAAACGAUGUUCACCACACACAAAAAGGAAGGAUAAAUGUUCCAUCUAUACAACUAAUCUUUAGCAUUUUAUUCAAAAGGUAGACAAAUCAAAACGUAUACAUUUUAAAUGCGGUUUUACUUUGAACAAAAAUGGUAAUUGCGGAAGAUUCGUUAUUAACAUCCUAAUCACAAAAAUAGAAAAUCAACAUUGCUUGGAGAAAUUAAGGACCGCCUAUUCUUCUAGACAUAUCUUCUACGUAAUUAAAAUGCUCUUUAGCACUAAACCGUGUUACAAUGUGAUUCCCACUCUCUCCAAACAAAUACAAGUCUGCACAUCUCGCCCGUUUCUUUCACGGUACCGCGUGACUUUGAAAAAAAAAAUGGACAGCGCAUCAUUAUUUUCACGCGCCAAACCAUCACAUUUCUCACCGACCGUUGUGCCUUUUAUCAAGGCUGAAGAGUUAGAUGCACGCGCCUCGGUGAGCGUUUAAAACACGGCACAUAUGUUAAAAACGGCGCCGUAACAGAGAGACGAUGACCUGUCGAAAUCUCAGUAAAAGAAUAUGGACCGUUGAUUGUCAUGAUUCGCGGGACCCGCAGGUGGACCAGCUGUAAUUGCAAGGAUUUCUAAUGCUGGAAAGUCCGGUUACCUAAACCCAGCUAAACCGGAUAUGCUCAACCUCUUUAUAAACGCCUCACCACAUUGCUAAUUUCACCAAAAAACCUUCAGAGCUUUAAAACAUUUCGAAUCAACAAAAACCCUAGCCUCCUCCUUUUCUUGCUCUCUCUCUCUCUACAAAUCUCUGAAAUGGCGAUCUCAAAGGCCUCCGUUGUUGCUCUCGUCGCGGUGAUCGUCUCCGUCGUUGCUACCGUCGCUUCAGCUCAGUCUGAGUCUCCGGCGCCAAGCCCCACUUCUGGAUCUGGUGCCUUCUCGCCGUCCAUCGUGUCAGCUGGCGUUGCAGCCGUCGCGGCUCUUGUGUUCGGCUCUGCUCUUCGGAUCUAAGUCUUUGUGAUGGCGAUUCGUACAGAGAUAUUGUUUUGAAAAUUUUUAUAGCAUUAUUGAUGAUAUUGGUGUGUAUUCUUGAGCUAUAGAUCUCUUUCUAUUGUGUCUUUGUUACCACUUUGCGAUAUUGUUUUUGAUUAUGAUAUGAUUCUAUUCUAUUUAUGGAUGUUUCUCAGAUGUUUCUUCGCCUUCUUCGCUUAAAUCGUUAUACGAGCUUGUUUUACAAAUCACAUGAUCGAAACUUUGCUAGAAAUUUGAUUAUAAUCUGAAGAUAAUUGUGAUUGUUACUUGGAUUAAUUUGAACUGAGUUAUAUUUUGGUCGAAAUUGAAUAAGAAUAUGAUCUAAGCUAAAAUUAAAAAAAAAAAAAAUAUAUAUAUAUAUAUAUAUAUAUUUUUUUUUUAAUCUGAAAACAUAAAUACAAGAACUAAAAAUGGAGUUAAUUCAUAAACCAUGUGAUACGAAAAUCAAUACACACUACGGGUAAAUGAUUUAAGAUUGUAACGCUCCAAUGUGCAAUGGAUUGGUGCAUGGUUCAGUUUUGCUUCGAGAUAAUAACAUCCGGUUUUUAAAAUUCCAUGUAGUUUCGGAAUUAGUCAGAACUACAGUCUACAGUGCUCAUAUAGUGAUAUGAAUCCGACAUUGUUUUGAAAUUUUGCGGAAUUUUGCGUGUAAAAUCAAUAUGAAGAAUGAGACUUUAGGCUACAUAAACGUGUUCUUUUGUUCUCAUUACAAGACAAGACAGCAAAAGAAACCGUUAUUAACGGAUUCAACGCUUCCUUAAUGGAAUCGAGAAAAAAAAUAGUUUGGGGAUUUAUUUGUUGAUAGGAAAAGUUGAAGACUUUUUUCUUUGAAGAAAAUUCAAGCAUUUUUUCCAGACGGUGAAGAAUAAUCAACUGUUGAUUAGUUGUACAUUUAGCAUUUGGAUGUGAUGAAGGAAAACUAUAACGCGUUGGAAUUACUAAUUAAUGUGAUUUGAUCAAUCUAGGUUCUAUAAUUAGUUAAUUACCUUAAACAAAUCAGCCAGGGCACAAAAAUUUACAAAUGAAUAGAGGAAAAAGUAGAGGGGUCAAUUAACGUAAAACAUAAAACAUCAGGGGUUUAUAUGCAAAUUACUAAUAAAGAAAAAGAACCCUGGAGGAGAUUGGCGAGGGUUUUAGUAGCUUCUCGCAUUUUUGGCUCAAACUCCGCGUCAAACUUCAAAACCAACAGAUUCGGAUACUCCGAGGUCAUUAGAUCGAAUCCUCUUUGCGGAGAAGAUGCAAUCGAUUCGUAGCGGCACAAGGCUGCUCCAGAGGAACCGUUUCUCAAUCUCCAACACUCUUCGUUUCACUUCGUCUUCUCCCGCAAGCUUGUCCGAGAAUGAAUCGAGGAGGCUAGGAGGAGGGUUUGAUUCAUUCCGUUCCACCAGAGCUUUCGAUUCGCCAGCGACGUAUCUCAUCAGCUCGUUGACAAAGGCUGUUUCUUUCUCUUCCGCACUACCUGUAAGCAAGCCACUUCUCUCAUUUCAGCUAAUCAUGGUGUAUUGAUAUUGUUAUCGGUUUGUAGAAAUGUGGAGGAUGAUUAGUUGGCAAUAGAGAUCUAAUUACCAAAUGGGUUGUGUAAAAGGAAGAAACUUUGCUCAGAUUUCGUCUUCCUUCCACAUUUGAAUUUAGCUCAGAGUGUUUGUGUGUGGGUACUUUUGAUCUUUAGCUCAAAAUUGAAUGCUUCAUUGUCCUAAGCAUCAUCAAUUUUUGUUUAUUUCCUUAAGUUAUUUGCUGAGCCUAUCUCGUUUGGUAGUUAAAGGUUACAGUUUCGUGCUGUUGUUUUUUCAAAGUUUUAUGCUUUCACAAAUUGUUCUGCUUUAUAGCUUUCCUGGAUGUUUGGGUCACAGACUCUAGGACAGUGCAUUUAGUUUAGGCUUCUUUGUGUUUGAGACCUUCUCUGACUUUUAAUGGGGGUUGGGAAAAUGUUUGGCAGAAACAAAACUUUACGUAUUCGUCGAGGUGCUUUUCCACCGUUGGAGAUUCUGCUCAGUCUGCUCCUCAAGGAUUCCCUGGGUCAGCUCCUGAUGCGCCUCCAAGAAUCAAGUUCAAGCGGCUUGAUAAAACCGCCAAGCAUAUAAUGCAGGUACAACUCCUACUUUGACGAUUGGUUGUGGAUUAAUACAUCACUGUCACGUUUACAAAAGUCACAAUCUUGUGCAGAUUGUAGACAAGGAGGCAGUUGAGGAAGUGAGAACUCGUAGAGAGAUACCGGAGAUAAGGCCCGGUUACAUUGUGCAGCUCAAAGUGGUAACUACUUUUGAACUCGUACCAGAUUGUCUUUUCUUUUUCUUCGAGAAUGAGAUCAAAAUAUCGUAUAACUUGGGAAGAUUAAUACUUUCAUAGGCUUCAUUGCAUUUAACUUUGUUUGAAACAGGAAGUGCCUGAGAACAAGAGGCGUGUUUCAAUCGUAAAAGGCAUUGUCAUAGCAAGGCGUAAUGCUGGUCUUAACUCUACGUUUAGGAUUAGAAGGCUCGUGGCUGGAGUGGGAGUCGAAUCCAUGUUCCCCUUGUAAGUAUUUUAACCUCUUGACCUCUCUCCUAAAGGCAAAGAUGAAUGUACAUUUUUAGAGCCUCAUAUAGCAUGCGCAAAAGGCUCAUUUGUAUUAGGAAAAGCUAGUGAUAUGUGAGUGUGGGUGUUUGUUGAUGACAGGUAUUCUCCAAACCUGAGGGAGAUUAAGGUGUUGGACAAGAAGAGAGUAAGAAGAGCGAAACUUUAUUACCUCAGAGACAAGAUGAACGCUCUCAAGAAGCAUUAGCUCCCGUAAUCAUCAUUCAGAAAAGAGUACUCUACGCUCAUAAACAAAAUCUUGAGUGUUUUUCUUUUAUGACGACUCUGCUUUGAGUCAACAUAUUGGACUAUGUAAUGUUAUUGAAUAAUGAUGGAACCCUUCAGGCUAUUUUUUUUUCUACAUGUUCCAAUAAAUUGAGCUUCAUUAUGAGUAAUCUAUAUCCAUCUUCAAAAGAAGGUGACAAAGUUCAUUAUGCUCUUAACUGUCAAAGCAACAAAGUUAGGCUCAAAAAGCUGUUGUGUGGUUGGAGAUAAACUGCGAUUGUAUCCCAAAUGAAUCAACAACCGCACUUUACAAGCACAAACGUAGAUAUUUGCGUUUGAAACAACUCAAGGGAAUAGUAAGGUAUCUGGUAGUGUACUAAUAUAUCUAUUUCUUCUUAUUUUUGCUUCUGUCAUUCUUCUUCUUCUCGUUGUUCUUGUGCUUGUCAUUCUCAUUCCUCCCUUGUGUCUCCUUGUCAUUCUCACUCUUAUUCUUACUCUUCCCCGGAAGCUCCAUCGGAGCAGGAUCCGUCUCUGAACCUGAAACAACCAACAAGAUGAAGAAUAAGACUUGUGAAAAAGAAAGAUAUACAAUACGCCUAAGAACAAGAAAGUGAACGACCUUUCAAGUAAAUGGAGUUGUAAUGUACCCCAACCAAAUGGCUCAAGUAAACAACUCUCUCGAGUGUCAAAGACUUAGGAACAAUCUCCAUGGAAGGUACUUCUUUCUCUGACGUAAUGACUACUAUCUUCACCCCAAACUGCAUAAUCGCGAAUACUUGUUCAUUAAGCUAAAACAAGCGAAAGAAUAAAAGAAAUCAAAGUAAAGAGAUUAUUAUAAAGAAGUUAACCGUAUCAGCAGCAGCCUGCAACGUAACGUUAUCACCCCACACGCCGUUCUUGGACAUGUUCUUGACAUACUCGGAGUAGUCCUUGGGAAGAUCGUUUGCUCUUUUUUUACUCGAGUCCAUCUCAACAAACUCUCUAUAAAUUUUUGGACAAGUUUUAAGCUGAAAUAAUUCAUAUAACAACAUGAGAGUCAGUCCAUGUUAACAAAUCAUAUAACCUCAUGAGAGUCAUAUACCUGUUUAACUAUUCUUUCUCGAACUUUCUCAUGAUACUCGGGGCACCUGAAGAGCUGAUCAGCUAAAGAGCUAAACUGUAACAUAAUAAUUAACAAACACUAAUGAUGUGAUAAAGGAGGGGGUUUAGAAAACAUUAAUUAAUUAGUAUUAUUACCUGGCAGUUUCCAUCACUUUUAAUCUUCGUCUCGAUGAAACCUUCCCACUCUAACCUAAAAAAUCCGGAAGAGUAAUCAGUUAAAACACUGAUGAUUAAACAAGAUUUGAAAAGAAUAAUCCAUCGUUAGUUCGUUUACCUUGACUCGAGUCUUUUCUUGUGCUCGUUAGACAUUGCUUACGUCUUUUCUCGGCGACGAUCGGUUACUGAUUGGGUGAUGGUUAACAAUAUACUGUGUCGCUUGAGCGGCCGAUUGGUAUUUAUAGAUUUUCUAUAUUAUGAGAAAAAGAUGGGCUUUUUCAAUUUUGUAUGGUUAGGGUUGUUAUGGGCCUACCGUUAACGGCCCAAUUAAUCAGAAGAAUCUUUAGGCCCACUGGCUCGUCUAUGCAUAAAUAAAUUACACACACAUGCGAAUAAUUUAACAAGAGUCGGAAGAAUCUUAGCUGAUAAACUGAUAGAUAUAACAAAAAGAACUCUCAGACAACAUAAUCUUAUGUUUAUUCAAGUUUUCCACAAAAAACUUAGAAGUGUACUUGGUAUCUCCAUCACAAGAAACAUUGCAUUGAAACGUCCACGUUUUAUUGGACCCAAGCCUUUGGUAACAAUCGGCUGAAAGCGAAAACUCGCUUUGGCAUUGGUAAGGAGGGUUUUUGAUCACUUGUUCCACCAGUGCAAGAAAUCCUUGCGCCUGUUGAUUUUCUUCUGAAGCUGGAGGAGUCCAUAGAGCAAUGCCUCAGCGGUUGGAGGGCAUCCAGGGACGUAGAUGUCCACUGGGACAAUUCUGUCGCACCCUCGAACCACUGAGUAGGAGUAGUGGUAGUAUCCACCUCCGUUGGCGCAGCUUCCCAUUGAAAUCACCCACCUUGGCUCCGGCAUCUGGUCAUAAACCCUGUCUCAUUGUUUCCAGAUAUUAGAAACAAGGAACUUCUUUCAAACAUGAUACACAAGAACAGCAGCUUUAAAAAACAUCCACAUAGACUACGCCAAUUCUGCCAGAUCCAAGACUGAUUUGAAUAGAGCGUUAUGAACAUAUCUCUAAAUACCAGUUCGAUCACUGAUAGGUUACUCAACAUGAUGACUGAUCUAGUGAAAAUGCAUAUAAUUUUGCUCGUCUAAGUGGUAGAUGUUUUGAGGUUGACUUGGGACAUUUUCUAAUGAACCUUUAAAUUAUCAGAGAUGAUCCACAUAUACACUUCCCUCAAUACUACCAGACAAAAAAGGCAAUUCGAAGAGACGAGUUCAGAACCUAUCUCUAAACACUGAUAGUUUCUUCAGCACAAGAACUAACAUAUACCAAUUCAUAAAAAGCAGUCAAAUAAUCUCUCAGAUGCAACUAAUAUUUGCUCGGCUCAGUGGUUGAAAUCGCCACAAUGUAAUAGCCACAAGGUGGUUACUUGUGGCUAUUACAUUGACUUGCGAUAUUUUCUAUAUCUACAUGUUUGGGCAUAAAGACAUCAUUGAGCUCAGCUUCCUAAACAAAAACCUUACGCAUACAAUUUUUAAGAAACAUGAUUCUCGGCAAAAAAAAAACAAAGAUAUGCAGUUGAAUGAAGGGUUCAUAACAUCAAACAAGAGAGAUAGGAAUCGAAUCAAGUCCCUCAUGUGUCAAUUUUCCAUUAACAAUACAACUCGUAAUAAAAUGGACAUCAGGUCUCAAAGACAACCAAGCAAAAUCAUCAAACAAGCACGAUUUUAAACAGUCAGCAAAAAAGGAACAACAAAACCUAAUUACAAUGAUGGCUGAGACGACACUAACACAUUUUUCCCAAAGCUAGAGAAUAUGAAACCCUUAUCUCCCCACCACAAAAGACGAGCACAGAGGUUACACUGAUAUAGCUACUCUUCAUCUCUGUAUACUAGAUUUCACCUAAGUUAAUGAAUUUCAAACCAAAAUUUCUCAAGAACUCUGCGCUAGACAAUGAAUAUGAACGAUAUGGCUUCCCAGGUCAGUCAUAUAUUCAUACAGAAACUCUCAAUUUGACAGGGACCAAGCAACACAAUCAGAAUAUAUGAAACCUACAUCGCCGGGAAAGAGAUAACUCCAACAAUCACAAUCAUAAUCUCCUGAAAACGUAAUUCUACUCUCAGUGAUAUCCGAGAUCCAUAGGAAAGGGAGAGAGAGAGAAGUAGAGAGGCGUACUUGCGAAGAGCAGGAGCCAUCUUGUUAGUAAGCGUCCCGGCGACAAUCAUACAAUCCGAUUGACGAGGACUAGGCCUAAAGAUGAUACCGAAUCGAUCCAGAUCGUAGCGAGCAGCACCGGUAUGCAUCAUUUCCACGGCGCAGCACGCGAGGCCGAAGGUCAUGGGCCAGAUCGAUCCCCUGCGAGCCCAGUUCAUGAGGUCAUCGACCUUCGAGAUCACGAACUCCGCCGUCUUCGAGAGACCCGGCGGAGGAGGGGAGGGGUAGGGNNNNNNNNNNNNNNNNNNNNNNNNNNNNNNNNNNNNNNNNNNNNNNNNNNNNNNNNNNNNNNNNNNNNNNNNNNNNNNNNNNNNNNNNNNNNNNNNNNNNNNNNNNNNNNNNNNNNNNNNNNNNNNNNNNNNNNNNNNNNNNNNNNNNNNNNNNNNNNNNNNNNNNNNNNNNNNNNNNNNNNNNNNNNNNNNNNNNNNNNNNNNNNNNNNNNNNNNNNNNNNNNNNNNNNNNNNNNNNNNNNNNNNNNNNNNNNNNNNNNNNNNNNNNNNNNNNNNNNNNNNNNNNNNNNNNNNNNNNNNNNNNNNNNNNNNNNNNNNNNNNNNNNNNNNNNNNNNNNNNNNNNNNNNNNNNNNNNNNNNNNNNNNNNNNNNNNNNNNNNNNNNNNNNNNNNNNNNNNNNNNNNNNNNNNNNNNNNNNNNNNNNNNNNNNNNNNNNNNNNNNNNNNNNNNNNNNNNNNNNNNNNNNNNNNNNNNNNNNNNNNNNNNNNNNNNNNNNNNNNNNNNNNNNNNNNNNNNNNNNNNNNNNNNNNNNNNNNNNNNNNNNNNNNNNNNNNNNNNNNNNNNNNNNNNNNNNNNNNNNNNNNNNNNNNNNNNNNNNNNNNNNNNNNNNNNNNNNNNNNNNNNNNNNNNNNNNNNNNNNNNNNNNNNNNNNNNNNNNNNNNNNNNNNNNNNNNNNNNNNNNNNNNNNNNNNNNNNNNNNNNNNNNNNNNNNNNNNNNNNNNNNNNNNNNNNNNNNNNNNNNNNNNNNNNNNNNNNNNNNNNNNNNNNNNNNNNNNNNNNNNNNNNNNNNNNNNNNNNNNNNNNNNNNNNNNNNNNNNNNNNNNNNNNNNNNNNNNNNNNNNNNNNNNNNNNNNNNNNNNNNNNNNNNNNNNNNNNNNNNNNNNNNNNNNNNNNNNNNNNNNNNNNNNNNNNNNNNNNNNNNNNNNNNNNNNNNNNNNNNNNNNNNNNNNNNNNNNNNNNNNNNNNNNNNNNNNNNNNGAAAUUUAACAUUCGGGCCGCAGCGACACAGAUUAGUCCCUUGGGCCUGGGAAGCCUUUGGGGAAACUGUGUAUAAUUCAAAAAAAAAAAAAAAGAGAAUCCACCAACUUAUCGAAAGCUAAUGAAGAAAGUAGUUUUUGUCUUUCUUCAAAACGAUGUUCACCACACACAAAAAGGAAGGAUAAAUGUUCCAUCUAUACAACUAAUCUUUAGCAUUUUAUUCAAAAGGUAGACAAAUCAAAACGUAUACAUUUUAAAUGCGGUUUUACUUUGAACAAAAAUGGUAAUUGCGGAAGAUUCGUUAUUAACAUCCUAAUCACAAAAAUAGAAAAUCAACAUUGCUUGGAGAAAUUAAGGACCGCCUAUUCUUCUAGACAUAUCUUCUACGUAAUUAAAAUGCUCUUUAGCACUAAACCGUGUUACAAUGUGAUUCCCACUCUCUCCAAACAAAUACAAGUCUGCACAUCUCGCCCGUUUCUUUCACGGUACCGCGUGACUUUGAAAAAAAAAAUGGACAGCGCAUCAUUAUUUUCACGCGCCAAACCAUCACAUUUCUCACCGACCGUUGUGCCUUUUAUCAAGGCUGAAGAGUUAGAUGCACGCGCCUCGGUGAGCGUUUAAAACACGGCACAUAUGUUAAAAACGGCGCCGUAACAGAGAGACGAUGACCUGUCGAAAUCUCAGUAAAAGAAUAUGGACCGUUGAUUGUCAUGAUUCGCGGGACCCGCAGGUGGACCAGCUGUAAUUGCAAGGAUUUCUAAUGCUGGAAAGUCCGGUUACCUAAACCCAGCUAAACCGGAUAUGCUCAACCUCUUUAUAAACGCCUCACCACAUUGCUAAUUUCACCAAAAAACCUUCAGAGCUUUAAAACAUUUCGAAUCAACAAAAACCCUAGCCUCCUCCUUUUCUUGCUCUCUCUCUCUCUACAAAUCUCUGAAAUGGCGAUCUCAAAGGCCUCCGUUGUUGCUCUCGUCGCGGUGAUCGUCUCCGUCGUUGCUACCGUCGCUUCAGCUCAGUCUGAGUCUCCGGCGCCAAGCCCCACUUCUGGAUCUGGUGCCUUCUCGCCGUCCAUCGUGUCAGGAGGCGUUGCAGCCGUCGCGGCUCUUGUGUUCGGCUCUGCUCUUCGGAUCUAAGUCUUUGUGAUGGCGAUUCGUACAGAGAUAUUGUUUUGAAAAUUUUUAUAGCAUUAUUGAUGAUAUUGGUGUGUAUUCUUGAGCUAUAGAUCUCUUUCUAUUGUGUCUUUGUUACCACUUUGCGAUAUUGUUUUUGAUUAUGAUAUGAUUCUAUUCUAUUUAUGGAUGUUUCUCAGAUGUUUCUUCGCCUUCUUCGCUUAAAUCGUUAUACGAGCUUGUUUUACAAAUCACAUGAUCGAAACUUUGCUAGAAAUUUGAUUAUAAUCUGAAGAUAAUUGUGAUUGUUACUUGGAUUAAUUUGAACUGAGUUAUAUUUUGGUCGAA